GUAGGUGGCAAGCGUUGUCCGGGAAUUAUUGGGGCGUAAAGCGCGCGCAGGCGGGUUCUUUAAGUCUGAUGUGAAAGCCCACGGGCUCAACCGUGGGAGGGUCAUUGGAAACUGGAGAACUUGAGUACAGAAGAGGAAAGCGGAAUUCCACGUGUAGCGGUGAAAUGCGUAGAGAUGUGGAGGAACACCAGUGGCGAAGGCGGCUUUCUGGUCUGUAACUGACGCUGAGGCGCGAAAGCGUGUGGAGCAAACAGGAUUAGAUACCCUGGUAGUCCACGCCGUAAACGAUGAGUGCUAAGUGUUAGGGGGUUUCCGCCCCUUAGUGCUGCAGCUAACGCAUUAAGCACUCCGCCUGGGGAGUACGGCCGCAAAGGCUG
This 377-nucleotide ribosomal RNA is filed under the name uncultured organism. RNAcentral's name for it is "partial 16S ribosomal RNA". It matches the Rfam family "Bacterial small subunit ribosomal RNA", at positions 527 to 896 of the family's 1533-position model. The record is from RNAcentral.